CAAAAGCCCAUAGAGUUUGAUCCUGGCUCAGGAUGAACGCUAGCUACAGGCUUAACACAUGCAAGUCGAGGGGAAACGACAUCGAAAGCUUGCUUUUGAUGGGCGUCGACCGGCGCACGGGUGAGUAACGCGUAUCCAACCUGCCCACCACUUGGGGAUAACCUUGCGAAAGUAAGACUAAUACCCAAUGAUAUCUCUAGAAGGCAUCAGAAAGAGAUUAAAGAUUUAUCGGUGAUGGAUGGGGAUGCGUCUGAUUAGCUUGUUGGCGGGGUAACGGCCCACCAAGGCGACGAUCAGUAGGGGUUCUGAGAGGAAGGUCCCCCACAUUGGAACUGAGACACGGUCCAAACUCCUACGGGAGGCAGCAGUGAGGAAUAUUGGUCAAUGGACGAGAGUCUGAACCAGCCAAGUAGCGUGCAGGAUGACGGCCCUAUGGGUUGUAAACUGCUUUUAUAAGGGAAUAAAGUGAGUCUCGUGAGACUUUUUGCAUGUACCUUAUGAAUAAGGACCGGCUAAUUCCGUGCCAGCAGCCGCGGUAAUACGGAAGGUCCGGGCGUUAUCCGGAUUUAUUGGGUUUAAAGGGAGCGUAGGCCGGAGAUUAAGCGUGUUGUGAAAUGUAGAUGCUCAACAUCUGCACUGCAGCGCGAACUGGUUUCCUUGAGUACGCACAAAGUGGGCGGAAUUCGUGGUGUAGCGGUGAAAUGCUUAGAUAUCACGAAGAACUCCGAUUGCGAAGGCAGCUCACUGGAGCGCAACUGACGCUGAAGCUCGAAAGUGCGGGUAUCGAACAGGAUUAGAUACCCUGGUAGUCCGCACGGUAAACGAUGGAUGCCCGCUGUUGGUCUGAAUAGGUCAGCGGCCAAGCGAAAGCAUUAAGCAUCCCACCUGGGGAGUACGCCGGCAACGGUGAAACUCUAAGGUAAUAGACGG
RNAcentral lists this ribosomal RNA (930 nucleotides) under uncultured bacterium. Its description in RNAcentral is "bacterial SSU rRNA". It matches the Rfam family "Bacterial small subunit ribosomal RNA", at positions 1 to 916 of the family's 1533-position model. The record is from RNAcentral.